Anopheles stephensi (Asian malaria mosquito) is the source of this 2287-nucleotide RNA transcript. It is a transcript of the gene named serine protease inhibitor 42Dd-like, with no coding region annotated. The record is from RefSeq and is a predicted model, not a curated record. Lineage: Eukaryota; Metazoa; Arthropoda; Insecta; Diptera; Culicidae. The transcript has 7 exons.
CAUCGCGCGCCAUUCGGCUAAAAACAGCUUUGGUGUGCGUUAACUAACCUUCAACCGCUCUUCUUCCGUUUUCAUAGCAUUCCACAUAAGCAUAAGAGCAUUCCCUGUGACAGUGUGGGUAACGUAAGUCCACCGAAAAAAAAAGAAGAAAAUAAUCAAAAUUGCCGGCCUACCAAACAACACCACCGGCGAACCAACACACCACCAUCGAACUCUGCAGGCCGAUGAGUCAUCGUACGCAAGUAACAUUUAAUUCCAGUCCCAAAAUAACCUUCAACCCGCUCGCAGUGUACGGUUCACGACGGUUCGGUUCGCCACUCCCAGCUCUGACAGUGUUACUGCUACUUGCCAUCGUCCAAUCAAUACAAGCACACGUCUCAAAUCAAGCAGAGAUAACCAACAAUUUGUUACACACCAUGGCCGAUAGCAACACUCUUGAUGCGCAGUUUGUCGGACAGUCGAACAGCUUCGCAACCAAGCUGUACCAGGCAAUAAGUGCGAAAACUGUGGGAGAGAAUGUGGUCAUUUCCCCGUUCUCGAUCGGCGCGUGUCUUUCGCUGGCCGCGAUGGGCGCUUCCGGUCCGACGGCCGAAGAAAUGUACUCCGUGCUGCAGUACGGAACACCGAACGAGAAGCAAACCGUGGCCGAUAACUAUCGCCGGCUCAUGACACGGCUCGCCACCGACAGUACGGUGAACGUGGCGAACAAGGUUUACGUUAUGCAGGAUUACGCGAUCAAGAGCGCGUUCAAUGCGAUCGCCACCGAGAGCUUCCAGUCGGAGGCGGAAGCGGUCAACUUCGCCGAGAGUGAGGUGGCCGCCAAAAAGAUAAACGGAUGGGUAGAGCAGAAAACGAACAACAAGAUUAAGGAUCUCAUCUCGCCGGACGCGUUGGAUGAGCUGUCCCGGAUGGUGCUGGUCAAUGCGGUACACUUCAAGGGUACCUGGACGUACCAGUUCGAUCCGCAGCUCACGCGUCCGUUUCCGUUUUGGACGAGCGAGACAGAAUCGAAAAACGUGCCGAUGAUGAACAUUAAGAAACACUUCGCCUACAACAACUUCGAACAGCACGGCUUCUCGGCCCUGGAGCUGACGUACGGUGCCAGCGACAUGACGAUGCUGAUACUGCUUCCCAACGCGCGAACGGGACUGGCGGCACUGGAGGAGAAACUUCCCAGCCUCGAUUUUGCCGACCUGACGUCCCAAAUGCACAAGCAGGAGGUCGAGGUGUUUCUGCCCAAGUUCAAGAUCGAAUUUACCCGCGACCUGAACGACGAUCUGAAAGCGCUCGGCAUGGGCCGAAUGUUCAGUGACUCGGCCGAAUUCCCCGACCUGUUGGAAGAAAACGAACCACUGAAGGUGUCCAAGGUGGUCCACAAAGCGUUCAUCGAGGUGAACGAGGAAGGAACUGAAGCAGCCGCCGCAACCGCGGCUGUUGUACGUGUCAAGCGAGCCCUCAUAAAUCGGCUCAAAGUUCGCCUAGACCACCCGUUCUUGUAUGUUUUGUUGAUGGGCAGUUCGCGGCAGACUGCCUUCAUUGGCCGCUACGUAAAACCCGAUCAAUCCGACGUCACCGAAGUAAAUCGCCGCGAUGAGUUGUAAAUCGCAGGGCGGCCAACCUGUUGCACGUUAUCUAGGUCUGCUGCUCUAAUCAGUGCCUCGUCGUUUUGUAUGAUUAUGGCGACAUUCUGUAUGAUCAUCUCCGAGCCUGUGAAAUUUACUGUGGAUCAUCCGUUCCUAUACGCGCUAAUGUCCCGGGAAAAGACUGUAUUUUUCAUGGGAAAAGCGUGCAAAAUGUCUUAAAAUCUGGUAUAAAUUGGCUGAGGAUUUAAUGUGAUUUGCGUUAUGAGAAAACACAAUUCAAAAGCCCGAAAUCUGGUAUGAUGUUCGUGGCGUGUUCCUUCGUAAUGCCAAUAACGUUCGCAGCAGAUCACCCAUUCUUGUACGCGCUGCAAGACCCGCAAGGAACUAUUAUGUUUAUGGGUAAGACCGCUAAAGUUUAAAUCCUCAGCCAGAAACGACUUCAAACAGGAAACAACGGCCUUAUGCAGACUUAACAGAGAGGCAGGCAGAUACCUCUCAAAAUAAUGUGCACCCAUGAUAUAGUAUUAAAGAGUACACAAACUGCUGGCUCGAAGCCUCGAACCAACAUAACACACACAGUCUUACACAUACCACCACACUUAAUGACCAAAGUAUUUAACGCACAUUGAAACGUUUGAUGUCGAUGUGAUAUUCAGCUAAUCGAAAACAGGAGAAAAUGAAUAUAAAUGUUGCUAGCUAUCUAA